ACUAUUCUUCAGUCAGCUCUCUAGAGCACGAAGGGGAGGGAAGAUCCCAGGACCUUCCAGGGCCAGUCCUCUGACGGCCUAAGGAGAAGCACACACGGUGAUCAAUGGAAUAGAUUUAGAAAACACUGGGUAUCUCUUCCACCCGUGGAAGCUGAACUGGGGCCUGAGGCCUCAAGAAAGGCAGGGCCUCCCAAACAAGAUGGACCAAGCAGGCUACACUGAUCCAUGCCUCAGAGGAGAGAGCAGGGAAGUCCUAGCAACAGUCUGAAGGACAACGUUGCCUCCAGUGUGCACACACCUCACCCUAGUCCUGUUUCCUCUGCUGCGGUGCCAAGGGUAUGGGACGCCAGGCAUUAUGCUCCCCUGAGGAGACUUGGUCUCUGGCAUAGGUCUGUUGCCAAGGGAGUUCAUGUACUGCCAUCCACACAAUAGGCAUUGGAGAAAAAACAAGAAAGGCUCUUGGAGUAUUGGCCAGCCAGCCAGCCAGCCAGCCAGCGCAGUCUUCAAGGGCCUCGGGGUGGCACAUAGGGUGGAGUGAGCACUUCCCAAUUCUCCCUCAGCCAGUGGCUGUCAGGCCUGUUGUAACAUCUGACUGGCACCGCCAGGGCUGGGAGCCCAGGUUAGGGCCAAAGAGAAGAGAUAUAGAUCAACUUGUGGUUUAGAAAUACAAACACAUUAUCCGUCUCUGCACCUUUCUCUUCGGGACUUGAAAAGCUUCCUGGGAACCAGGAGCUUGCUAACAAGCUCCCUUGCUCGCUAUAGUUUCCUAUCUGUGGAUGCCGCUUCUCCCCUAUCAGGAGGGAUCACACCUCCAGUUUCUGAACGCUUCCUGUGGGUGGAGCCCUGAGGUAUAAGCUCUUAGCUUACGCUGCCAGCCUCACUCUGCACAACAACCCUGGUGGAAGUUAUUAACAUAGUAUUAAUGUUACUCUACAGGUGAUUCAAACUGGGGCACAGGAUUGCUAAGAGAGGACCAAUUCCUGCUAUAAAGCAAAUGCAUGGGUCCUCCACACCCACGCACGUGCUUACCCAUCCCUAUGUUGAGAUCUAAUCACCAAUAUGAGAAGGUUAUUAGGAGACAAGGUGUCAGAGGUGAUUAGCACCUUAAGGCCCGUUGUAACUACCAUGAUAGUUAACUCCAGCCUGCCCUCAGGAGAGGCAGGAGGAUCUCUGUGAGUUCCAGGCCAGCCUGUCUACAGAGCGAGUUCUGGGGCAGCCAGGGCUACACAGAGAAACUGUCUCCAGAAACAAACAAGCACCCACCAAGGACAAAAUAUCUCUCCGGGUUAGCAGGGAAAUAUUCCUCAGAGAAACACUUGUGCCCCUCCCUUCGAGGUGUGCAGUCAAUCUAUGAGAUAGCGAACCGCAAAGAAUCGCGAUUUUCUGCUUGGAUUCCUUUCUAAGGAAGGGAUAACUGACGCUCCGGUGCCAGCCAGAACUUGCCUCCCAGGAAGGGACUUCACAGACUUCUGACAGCCUAUCCACCCACCUCGCAGGAUAUGGCUGAGACAAAGAUGGGCACCUAAUGGCAGAACCACACCUUGCCUAGGACUAGGGAGUUAUACAGACUUCCUGUCCUCUGUUUAAAGCUAACCUGAAGACGGACUUGCCAAGC
This is a non-coding RNA of Myodes glareolus (Bank vole), 1615 nucleotides long. The record is from RefSeq and is a predicted model, not a curated record. Lineage: Eukaryota; Metazoa; Chordata; Mammalia; Rodentia; Cricetidae.